CAGCGGAAUAGAAAACGACAGAUUAUUGCUGCAUCUCGCUGUUCCUCUCUCUUGCACAUAAAAGAAAGAUGGUCCAUUUUGCUCACAAGCGUUUUGAAAGAGAGGCAGCACAGGAAAUACCAGGAAGGAACUGCACUUUUUCUGACCCUUUGUGCUUUUUGCUACCCCGGUAUCUCCCCAGGAUGCCGCCCUGGCUGCGGUGCCCCGGGUCCCACACCGUUCCCUUGGACAUUUCCUAUCUAUUCCCCAAAGCCUGAGAGCAGCACGAAGCACCGUGAGCCCUGGGAGCAUCCUGCUUGGUCUGCACACCAGCUCUAAUCUUGCUUCUCAUUGGUCCUAUCUGACAGUAAUUGGCCACCGCUGCCUGGCUGCUGUUUUCACUUUAACAAUACCGCACCAAAUAAAUGGCCCUGUGUUGCUGUCAGCGGUGUUCUGCACACUGAGUCCGGCGUGGGUCAUGUUAUCUCGUGGAAAUGAAUUCUGCAGAUUGCACGUAAAGAGGGACAGUGCUGCCCUACUAAAAAAUGGGAAUGAUUAGCACCGUGCUAAUGAAAACGUCCUGCUGGUGGGGAAACUCUCAGCCUUUUGGAGAGCCUGGGCACAUCUAGCUUCGUUCCUGAAAGGCAGAAAUGCUGGAGCAGAGCAGGGGAAUGAUUUGGGUUUUCCAGGGACUGCAGUUGCUCCGAGCUUGGGGACCAAAGCACCAACAACACACGCUGCUGCGCUUUCAAUUCUCCGGCAAUUGGCAACAGUUUAAUGUGUAUAUAUCACCAGCGCAGUUGUGUGAGCUCUGGUCCCACCGGCACCAUUUUUUUUAAAAAAAAUCCCUUUUCCAGUGUAAUUGCUGUUUGUUUUGUCAUUUCUCAGUGGGCAAUUACAGUUCAAAACCAAGAGAGCUUUUGAAGAUCGCAAGCGGAGGCUGUGGGCUUCAUUAAUGCGCUUUUAAUACACUAUGGAAACACACUUGAACUUACCUGCCCGAGGCCUCAGACAUAGGAAUCCGGCUUUGUAAAGCGCUGAUUAUUUGAUCUAUUUAAAAUACUUCCAGUAUUAGCCCGGUCUCCUGGAUACACUUCAACGUCAGCAGUUUGGGAUGCCGAAAUAUCUCCUCCAGGCCAUUCUGCCAUUCUCUAAUUCCUAGGAACUGGAGCCUCAGUGUUGGAAAUGCCACCGUUGCUGCUACCUGGCCUCUUUCAGACACCUCCUUGUAACUGAUUUGGGAAUAAAGCAACAGGAAGAAUAGAAAGUGGUUCUGAU
This 1257-nucleotide long non-coding RNA is filed under the name Numida meleagris (helmeted guineafowl). RNAcentral describes it as "lncRNA (ENSNMEG00000015830.1)". The record is from RNAcentral. Lineage: Eukaryota; Metazoa; Chordata; Aves; Galliformes; Numididae.